RNAcentral lists this transfer RNA (76 nucleotides) under Rhizobacter gummiphilus. RNAcentral's name for it is "tRNA-Pro". It matches the Rfam family "tRNA". From Rfam's summary of the family: Transfer RNA (tRNA) molecules are approximately 80 nucleotides in length. Lineage: Bacteria; Pseudomonadati; Pseudomonadota; Betaproteobacteria; Burkholderiales; Sphaerotilaceae. The record is from RNAcentral.
CUCGGUGUGGCGCAGCUGGCAGCGCAUCGCGUUUGGGACGCGAGGGUCGCAGGUUCGAACCCUGCCGCCGAGACCA